UGUUACUGUGACAGGGGACGAGAGAAA
This 27-nucleotide small RNA is filed under the name Bombyx mori (domestic silkworm). RNAcentral describes it as "ovarian small RNA-36018". Lineage: Eukaryota; Metazoa; Arthropoda; Insecta; Lepidoptera; Bombycidae. The record is from RNAcentral.